Molecule: long non-coding RNA, 6439 nt
Filed under: Lynx pardinus (Iberian lynx)
Lineage: Eukaryota; Metazoa; Chordata; Mammalia; Carnivora; Felidae
Source: RNAcentral
GCGGCAGACGCCUGGAGCGGGAGGUAGGUCGGGAGAGGGCGGGGCCUGGGAGCGGGCGACGAGCCCGGGGGCAGGGGGCGGGGCCUAGCGCGGUCGGAAUGGGGCUGAUGCUCCGAGCCCGAGGCUGGCCGGAACCUGGAGCAGGGGGCUGGGAAUGGGGAACCUGGAGCCGGGAACGGAGGGAGGGGACUCGGGAACCCGGAACGGGGACUUGGGAUCCGGGAACGGGGAGUGCGGGGGCGGAGAGCCCGGGGGCCGGGACUGGGAGGCGGGGAGCGGGGAGCUGCGCCGAGGCGGAUCCCCGGCCGCGCGGGUGGGGUCGGCUCUCAGCCGCGUGCCCCACCCAGACCCCAGGCCCCGCAGUCCAGACCAGCCUCCGCCCGGCUCCGUCCUCUCCAGGCGCCUGCCUGUCGGGCGAGCUUCGAGAGCAGCCAGCAAAACCCUGGAAAAUCCUGUCAGUGACAAUCACAAUGAGAAUCACAGUUUUCUUACCAGGUUUUUUCCUCUGAUUAUGAGUAAUACGUGAAUAUCAAUAAUUUCACUAUCGAGGAAUAACUACUAUCAACGUUUAUGGGUAGUUCCUUACAGUACCUUUACCACAUAGUUUCGUUAUAUAUAUUAUUUUUCCUUGUAUAUAUUGCCUUUUUUCCUUUUUUUUUUUUUUACAGAAUUCUGAAUCACAGUAAUUCAACUUUAAGUAGGUAACCAGAUGUCUGGGAAAAUAAUAGUGCAUGAGAUAGCACCUGGCAGCAUUAGUUAAUAAGAAAUUAGGCACCUCGUGCCUAACAAAGGAAAUUGUUAAUUUAUGGUAUAAACGUACAACACAUUCCUCUAUUCGUUAAACAAACAUGUUGAUUACAAUGCGAAUGGAGCCCUUUGGGAGGUGCCCCAGAUGCAGUGAGGGAAAGCAGCAGUAUUUCAAUUCAGGGGGUGAUUAGUAAUGCAUGGGAAAUAUGAAUGAGGCAGGUUCUGUUUCCUUUCCAGGAAUUUAUAAUCUAGUAGAUGAGGCAGGGAAGAAUAUUUCAGUAGGCGAAGCAGUACCUUUUUUGUUUGGACCAGAAAGGUAGAACUAUGCUGUAAACUCAUUGCAAGCUUGAAUUCUGGAGCAGACAGAAUUCAACCAUUUUUCUUUUCAUACACCAGGCUGAUUUUAAUCUCAUUAUGUCUGUAAGAUGUGCACCAUAAUGACUUCCAUCCUUCCUGGGAAAGCAGCACCCCAUUUUGUAAGAUGCCUUGUCAUCUGUAAUAACUAGAGGGAGGGAUUACUUAUGCCUCUUUAUAGUGCCUGCUGCAGUGGACAGAACUGAGACACAGAUAAGCUGAGAACUUGCACAAGGACAAACGGUGUGCCUGGGGCAGAGCUGAGAAUAAUUGCCAGACCUAGUUUCCAAUCCAGUUAGAUUUUUUUAACUUUGGAAUAUAUUUUGCAUAAAGAGCCUUAAGGCCUAGGAAAAUAAAGUAGGUUAUAGUGGCACCAUACUUAGAAUGCCGUCUUUCCUCAAUUAAGGUUACUUUCUGGUUUUCAGAGUUGCUAGGAGUAUGUAGAUAUUUAUUUAUUUUUAUGUACAUAUUUAAGUAGCUGAAAUAGAUCGUCAACCUAGAUAUGAUGAUGGGUCCCUAAGAUAGCCUGCAUGAUAAUUGUGGAUGGAACAGUUAUAAAGGGUGUCCAAUGAGUACUCCAAAUUCCAGUGUUCUGGUUGGUUGGUCCCAAGUUUUGCCCAACUCAUUAUUACCAAUUAUGGAUUUUCUUUGGGAUUCUUGUUUUUACAAAGCUCUGGGGGAAAGGGAGGAAACCAGAUUCAUCGCUCAUGUGCUUUGAUUUAUUUGACAAAGCAACCAUAAAUAAGUGACAGAACAUUCUCUUCUUGACCAAACUACUCUGUCUCCCCCCAAAUUUUGACUAGGCUUAAAUGUUUGGAUUUGUGUAUUUGUCUCUGCAUUGUCCAGUUUUAGCAAGACUCCUGCUAAGUUGGUUGAGCUAGAAUUCCCAUCCCCCAUAUCAGAUCGUCUUUGAUAUCUAAUCAGUUUCUUCACCCCCCAGCCACCCCCAAGUGGUGUUGGCUCAACCCAACCUGCCUUCAGCAAGAAUCCUGCUGGGUCAGUUUAGCCAGAACCUGACGGUUAGCUGACCCUGCUGUUUUGUCGUAGUAAUUUUCCACCCUCCAUCGCCCACCCAGGGUAAAGAAGUUGCCCAUGCUGUUCUCAGAGCCGAGUCCGAUCUCUCUCCCCAGAGUCCGAUCUCUCUCCCCACUGCAAGCAAAAGUGGGGUCCUGGUUCCCACUUGCCGUAGCCUCCUCUGAGUGCAGUCCACCUUACUAUGCUUUAACACGUCUCACUAAACGAUGUUUUUGACUAAUAGUCUUUUUCUUUAACAUAAGCAAACUUGUGUAUUUGAAGAGGUGAUUCAGAAACAUGAAAGAAAAGAGGAAGACCCAAAAUCCCAAAGUAUCAAAAUAAGAUAACACAACCCCCACGCCCUCCCCCCCCCCCCCAGCCCCGCACUUAGGAUUGCAUUGUGUGAGAAUUGCUUAAAUGGGCUCAGGUGAAGGCUCGACCCCUCAGGUGAAGGGCUCGGGUGAAGGCACGUCCCAGUCAGAGGUGCGCAGAACUGCCCACACGCUGUGGAGACAUCAGUGGGGCUGUUUUCACACUUGGAACAGGUCACGGUCAACGCCGUGUCAUGGGAGGGGAGACUGCAGAAGAAAGCAGGACCCAGGCUAUGCACCACGCUAAGACACUGUCCUUCAUUACUGCAAGUGAGAGGCUUUGCUGUGAUGCCAGGUGAUGGGUGAGGGCUCAGAGGAAGACCCACAUCCGAUUUGCAGCUGGCUGUGUGUGGGUAGCCCACUGGGACAGUGCCCUCACCCUGGGCUGCAAAGUGGGAGCACAGCCUUACUGUUCUCUCUCGUCCAUGACCCCCCAUCUGCCUCCCUCCAUGGGGCUAGAUCCAUCUUUUAAGAAGGCAAAUACACUUAAAAUUGGACACCGAGCAGUGUCUCGGUCUGUUUCAGCCUGCAAAACAAAGUACCACAGACUGGGGGGUUUAAACAACAAACUGGAAGACUGCGAGUCUGAGAUCAGGAUGCUAGCAGGGACCCUCUUCCUGGAUCACAGAUGAUAUCUUCUUUCUGUGAACCCACUCAGUGCAGAGGGAACCACCUCUCUGGUGUCUCUUCUCUGCGGGGCACUGACCCCAUCAUAGACGUUAUCCCACCCUAACCACCUCCCAAAGGCCCCACCUCCAGAUAGCAUCACGUUGGCGUGAAUUUCGGGGACACAGGCAUUCAGUCCAUAGCAAACGACUUCCCAGACUCCUGUCAUUCAGAUACCACUUCCACGUGGAUUUUUACCACUUCUGCGUGGACUUUUGUAUCCACAGAGGAUCUGUGCUAUUAAUAAUUUUCUUAAAAUAACUUCAUUUUUUGGAAUUACUGACUUUACGUUCUCUUUAUUAAGAAAACACCAAUGAGUUUAUGGUGCCAACUACAUUUUCCUCAUUUAAGCAAAUCCACAAUAAAAUAACACGUGUUCACGUGCUUCCCAAAUCAGUUCCCAUGGUUGGUGGUGCUACACCACACUUUGGAAAUCGCUCCUUGGGAGCAAAAUCCCAGAUCUGUUCCUUGGCCUGUUGACAUGCCUACAGCCAGGGCCUGCCUGCCUCUCUGGACUUGUCUGUCCUCCUCACAGGCUGUCCAGGGAGCCCUUGAAACCAAGGGUGCUUCUGCUGAAGGCUCCCACCCCAUCCCCAGCGCUUCUUUCCCCUGUUGUGACCAAAUCAUGCCUCCCUGAGUGCUUUAGAAUGUGACCUGAUUUGGAAAUGGAAUCAUUGUAGAUGUAACUAGUUAAGAUGAAGUCAUAGUGGGGCAGGCCAGCCCCAAACCCAGUGUGACUGGUGUCCUUAUAAAAAGGGGCAUCUGGACACAGAUGCACACAUGGGGAGAACACCAUGAGGCAGAGAUGGAGGGGUGCAGCAGAAGUCAAAGAGCCCCAAGGAUGGCCAGCAACACCAGAGGCAGGGGGACACCUGGGGCAGGUCCCCCGUCACGACCUCCUUGGGAGGUCCAGCCCUGCCCACACCUGGCUUCCAGAGCGAGAGGGCUUAGAUUCAGGUUGCCCAAGCCCGGUUUGCUGGGCUUGAUUGUGGCAGCCUCAGGAUACUUGCCCAGGACACAGGCUCUGCUGGGGAGGCUCCCCCACUGCCCACUGUCCCCUGCCCUCUGCCCACAAUCCAAUCCAAGUGCCUCUCCUUCCAGAAGCCUCCACCAGGCAACAGCUGGAGCCUCCUUCCCCUCUACUCCAGGGUUCCCAGGUGUCUGGCAUUUUAGUUUCCUCCCACCCUUGGAUGAAAACAUUCAAAAACCCAGCAAGUAAAUGUUACUCAUUUUUAGUCACAAAAACUUGAUUGUUAACAGGCCUUUUCUGAGAUGGCCUCUCCACUUCCAACAGGCCUCUUGACGAGUAGAAACAUGCUCCAAGCUUGCUUCUGGUGGCUCCAGGUGGGAAGGCAGAGAGAGGUGGCCUCUCUCUGCUCUGAAAGGGAGCCCCCAGGCAGGGCCCAGAGCUUGCUCUGCAAACCAGUGUCCUGUUGAAUAAAGUACUGGAUGGAUGCCUUUCUCUCUCACUCCCUCCACCUCUGUCUCUAUGUCUGUCUGUCUCUCCAUAUUUCCAUCAUUGUCUCUCUGUCUCUGUCUCUUACUCUCCAUCAUCACUGUAUCUUUCCUGUGAGGACAGAGCCCCACCCAUGCUGAGCCUACAAUACAAAUUUGUUGAGUGACAGGAGGCUAAAGGCUGAAACUCAGAUCAGUUGGCAGCUCCUUGUCAGGAAGGGGAGACCUGCUGUGGACCAAGGAUGUCAGUUAUUGAGCAUCAAGAUUCUGGAAUCUUACUGAUUGUCCUGCAUCUUACUCCUGUCUUGUGAAAAAAGUGAUUAGUGCUGUAAUGGGGAAAAUUCAAUUUUUUUUCCUUCUGAUGUAGGAAAAAAACCAGUUCUUCCUCACUGUGUUUCUUCCCCAUGUGUCUCCUUUGCCUUCACAGAGAACACUUCGCUUCUGAUGCUUGUGGUCACCAAAUGCGUGGAGGUUUUUUCCCCCACACAAUUCUAACACCAGCUCAAGUCUGACACCAUCAACCUGGAGAUGGGACCAGACCCCACAGGUUAAGGGCUCAGCCCCACAGGACUGCCCCGACCUCCACUUCAGCUGCCACUGUCCCCUGUGCUUCUGACUGACUCACUACAGACGGGAGGCUCCCACGAGCCCCUCCUAGGGUUAGUUUGCUAAAGCAGCUCACAUAAUUCAAGGGAACGCUUAGAAGUUUAUUAAAGGACAUGAAAAAAAAAACCACAAAUCAACAUCCAGGUGAAGGGAUGACAGGAAAAGGUCAGGAAGGGGCUCAAAUCCACAAACCGUGAGAUCAUGACCUGAGCCAAAACCUAGAGUUGGAUGCUUAACCAACUGAGCCACCCAGGCGCCCCAAUGACUUCAACCGAACAAAAAGGACCAGAAAUGAAGUAAAAGAUAAGCUAUAGGUCCACGGAAAUAGACUGCAAGUCAUUUAACAAAGGACUUAUAUUCAGCAUAUACAAAGAACUUCUACAAAUCAAGAAGAAAGACAUGAACAACAAAAAUGGGCAAAGAUAUGAAUAGGCAAUUCACUGGAAGGAAACACGAAUAUCCAAUAACCAAGACAUUCAGUAACCAGUGAUUUCUCCUGUCCUACUGAAUGGAUUGAUCCUGUCCACCGGCAAAAAUUUGCAUGGAUGCUCUACCUUAGGACAACAGCUCUCUUUCCCAUAUGUAUCUUUCCAGCGACUGUGCAUAUUUCUAUUUCCCUUCUUCCCUAAUGUCAAAGAAUUUAUAUAUAGUUGACACUUGAGCAAUGGAUCUUGGGCACUGACCACCACCACACAGCUGAAAAUCCACAUAUGACAUUGACUGCCCCCCUCUGCAACUUUACUACUAAUAGCCUACUGCUGAUCAGAAGCUUAACCAGUAACAUAAACAACACAGAUUUUGUGUCCUAUGUACUAUAUACUUUAUUCUUACGAUAAAGUAAGCUAGAGAAAAGAAAACCUUCUUAAGAAAAUCACAAGGAGGAGGAAAUACAUUUACAGUGCUGUGCUGCAAAAGACCUGUAUGCAAGUGCACCAGUGCAGUUCAAGCCUGUGGUGUUCAAGGGUCAGCUGUAGUUUUUGCCUUGCACUCCAGCAGGGCAUCAGUCCCCAGCAGUCCUGUGGAAUAGCUCCUGGCAAACUCAUCACAGCCUCCGGGUUUGCCAACCCACAGUCUCUGCUAAUCUUGUGUUUCAGGGUGUGGAGUGGCUGGGCAGCUGGCUCCUCUUGGGAACAUGAUGUCCUGGCUUCUGUGACUCUGCAGCUUUCCUGUGCAAUCUCCAAAUGCUCAAGGGCCCCAGGCCUCGGUCCUAGACCCUUUACUCUCUU